GAGAUGGCGCCGCCAGCGGGCGGGGCGGCGGCGGCGGCCUCGGACUUGGGCUCCGCUGCAGUGCUCUUGGCUGUGCACGCCGCGGUGAGGCCGCUGGGCGCCGGGCCAGACGCCGAGGCACAGCUGCGGAGGCUGCAGCUGAGCGCGGACCCUGAGCGGCCUGGGCGCUUCCGGCUGGAGCUGCUGGGCGCGGGACCCGGGGCGGUUAAUUUGGAGUGGCCCCUGGAGUCAGUCUCCUACACCAUCCGAGGCCCCACCCAGCACGAGCUACAGCCUCCACCAGGAGGGCCUGGAACCCUCAGCCUGCACUUCCUCAACCCUCAGGAAGCUCAGCGGUGGGCAGUCCUAGUCCGAGGUGCCACCGUGGAAGGACAGAAUGGUCAGUGCCCUGUAAUGGAUACAAUUACAAUUUGGAAUAGCCUUGGCCCCCCAGUCCUGGUUGGGGAAGUUGAAUCCACCUUCCCCACUGCUGGAUGUCUGGGAAGGCUUCCAGGAGGGAGUAGGUGGAGCCUGGAGUAGCUUGGAGUACUUGGAGUGGCUCCUGGAGUCAGUCUCCUACACCAUCUGAGGCCCCAGCCAGCAGAAGUUGCAGCCUCCACCAGGAAGCCCUGGA
This 613-nucleotide small RNA is filed under the name Pan troglodytes (chimpanzee). RNAcentral's name for it is "retained intron". Lineage: Eukaryota; Metazoa; Chordata; Mammalia; Primates; Hominidae. The record is from RNAcentral.